CCUACGGGCGACAGCAGUGGGGGAUAUUGCACAAUGGGGGAAACCCUGAUGCAGCGACGCCGCGUGGGCGAAGAAGUAUUUCGGUAUGUAAAGCCCUAUCAGCAGGGAAGAAGAAAUGACGGUACCUGAGUAAGAAGCACCGGCUAAAUACGUGCCAGCAGCCGCGGUAAUACGUAUGGUGCAAGCGUUAUCCGGAUUUACUGGGUGUAAAGGGGGCGCAGGCGGCACGGCAAGCCUGAUGUGAAAGCCCGGGGCCCAACCGCGGGACUGCAUUGGGAACUACCGGGCUGGAGUGCCGGAGAGGUAGGCGGAAUUCCUAGUGUAGCGGUGAAAUGCGUAGAUAUUAGGAGGAACACCAGUGGCGAAGGCGGCCUACUGGACGGUGACUGACGCUGAGGCUCGAAAGCGUGGGGAGCAAACAGGAUUAGAUACCCUAGUAGUC
RNAcentral lists this ribosomal RNA (442 nucleotides) under uncultured bacterium. RNAcentral describes it as "partial 16S ribosomal RNA". It matches the Rfam family "Bacterial small subunit ribosomal RNA", at positions 338 to 795 of the family's 1533-position model. The record is from RNAcentral.